UGCUUGCCAGGGUCGUUUGUUCUGUCUUCCUGACCCGUACGGGUGUUCCUGUGCUGCUGGGUUUACUGGAAUAGACUGCACGCAAGGUUGUAAUGGUGGGAUGUUUGGAGCUGAUUGCAAGCAGGCAUGUCACUGUGCAUCAGGCGAUGUUUGCGAAGAGGAUACUGGAAAAUGUGCUGGAAAUUGUGUAGAUCCAUAUUUUGGAGAAAACUGCCAGUGUGCAAGUAAGACAUUGAUCUAUUUAAUAUUGGUUAAAUUUAUUGAAGCGGUUGCCUGUACUGUAGAAAGAUUUGUCGAUCCACACACGCAGUAGCGAUGUCUUUUUUACUGUAACAAUAAUAAUAGAAACAUAUAAAUCUACCAUGUAAAUUAAUAGGUGGGAACGAUGCAGUUGUUACACUUACGCUACCGGUAAGUUC
Acanthaster planci (crown-of-thorns starfish) is the source of this 419-nucleotide long non-coding RNA. Lineage: Eukaryota; Metazoa; Echinodermata; Asteroidea; Valvatida; Acanthasteridae. The record is from RefSeq and is a predicted model, not a curated record.